Molecule: long non-coding RNA, 554 nt
Filed under: Mytilus galloprovincialis (Mediterranean mussel)
Lineage: Eukaryota; Metazoa; Mollusca; Bivalvia; Mytilida; Mytilidae
Source: RNAcentral
CCCCAAUGUUGCAAAUUAAUGCUUUUAAAUCUAGUAUAUAUAGUUGAUGUGUUUCCCUUGGAUUUAGUUUGUAAACCGAAUUUGUUUUUUUUCUCUAAAUCGAUUUAUGACUUUUGAACACCGGUAUACUACUGUUACAUUUAUGUACGAUGGAAAAAUAUUGUAGGUCUUGCAAGUUUUCUUUGAUAUUGAUUGUUUGUUUUUUUUUUUUUUUUUGUUGUUUUUUUUUGUUUUUUGGUCUUAAUCAUUUUGUAUUCAAUAUCAUAGAUUGGAGGGAAAAAACUCUAUUCUAAAAAUAAUUGCUAAAUUAUAUCGAAUCUUUUUGGUGUCAAGCCUUAUACUUUCUACCUUGGGGUGAAUUGUUUAUUGCAAAUGAAAAGGUAAACACUAAGCAUCAAAUGAUUUAAAAAGAAGACUGAUGCAAACUUAGAACGCCUAAAGUUAAACACAGGGAAGAAAAUCAACCUAUACGACAAGGUUAUCCAUUACGUUACCGAGAUUGACCAUUAUAAAAUAGAUAAAGAACACUAAACAUAGUUAUAACGGAAUACGAG